UAUACUUUCGCAAUAAAAACUUGUCUCUCUCUUUCUCUCAACAGUCGCACCCUAUUUUCUCCAUAUCUCCUUGGUUCUUCUAUCUCUUUCUUUCCACAUCACUCACCAUCAACACACACGAGAUCUCUGUUAAGAUAUGUUCCUCAUUCCUUCAAACAACACUUUGCAUUUCAAGCUUCAAUCAUUCUUAAGUUUAAAGUUCUAAGAUUUCUUCUAUGAUUUGUAUCUCAGUUUACAUUUUAAGAUUUUCCGAACAAAGACAUCUAAACAUGGCAUAUUUAAGGAUUUUGUGUAGUUUGCAACAAUGGUUCGAGUAAUGUGCGACAUUGAAGAACACACUUGUUCUGUUUGUAAGCAAGGUUGCAAGGCGAAAGAUAUGUUGAAGAAGAUGUUGGUGUUUUGAGAAAGGAGGUUAGGAGAUUGGAGGGUAAAGUUUUAGGGCUUAGCACGGUGUUGGAAAAUCAAACUAAAGAAUUAUAUGAACUUAAAGAUGGGGUAUUUUCCAAUUUCUAGAAUAUUUUAUUUUUGGGUAUUUUCCAAUUCUUACUCCAUACCAUUGAUGUCUAGUCUGAUUUGAAAAAAAUUAGAGUUUUCGAAAAAGAAAGUUAUGAAAAUAAUUAAGGUA
Molecule: long non-coding RNA, 625 nt
Organism: Lathyrus oleraceus (garden pea)
Lineage: Eukaryota; Viridiplantae; Streptophyta; Magnoliopsida; Fabales; Fabaceae
Exons: 2
Source: RefSeq, a predicted model, not a curated record